RNAcentral lists this ribosomal RNA (497 nucleotides) under uncultured bacterium. Its description in RNAcentral is "partial 16S ribosomal RNA". It matches the Rfam family "Bacterial small subunit ribosomal RNA", at positions 28 to 507 of the family's 1533-position model. The record is from RNAcentral.
GAUGAACGCUGGCGGCGUGCCUAAUACAUGCAAGUCGAGCGAACAGACGAGGAGCUUGCUCCUCUGACGUUAGCGGCGGACGGGUGAGUAACACGUGGAUAACCUACCUAUAAGACUGGGAUAACUUCGGGAAACCGGAGCUAAUACCGGAUAAUAUAUUGAACCGCAUGGUUCAAUAGUGAAAGACGGUUUUGCUGUCACUUAUAGAUGGAUCCGCGCCGCAUUAGCUAGUUGGUAAGGUAACGGCUUACCAAGGCAACGAUGCGUAGCCGACCUGAGAGGGUAAUCGGCCACACUGGAACUGAGACACGGUCCAGACUACUACGGGAGGCAGCAGUAGGGAAUCUUCCGCAAUGGGCGAAAGCCUGACGGAGCAACGCCGCGUGAGUGAUGAAGGACUUCGGAUCGUAAAACUCUGUUAUUAGGGAAGAACAAAUGUGUAAGUAACUAUGCACGUCUUGACGGUACCUAAUCAGAAAGCCACGGCUAACUACGUG